Molecule: ribosomal RNA, 407 nt
Filed under: uncultured prokaryote
Description: bacterial SSU rRNA
Rfam family: Archaeal small subunit ribosomal RNA
Source: RNAcentral
GCGCGAAAACUUUACAAUGCCGGCAACGGCGAUAAGGGGACCUCGAGUGCCAGGUUACAAAUCUGGCUGUCGUGAUGCCUAAAAAGCAUUGCAUAGCAAGGGCCGGGCAAGACCGGUGCCAGCCGCCGCGGUAACACCGGCGGCUCGAGUGGUAACCGUUAUUAUUGGGUCUAAAGGGUCUGUAGCCGGCCGGAUAAGUCUCUUGAGAAAUCUGGCAGCUUAACUGUCAGGCUUUCAGGAGAUACUGUCUGGCUCGAGGCCGGGAGAGGUGAGAGGUACUUCAGGGGUAGGGGUGAAAUCUUGUAAUCCUUGAAGGACCACCAGUGGCGAAGGCGUCUCACCAGAACGGACCUGACGGAAAAGGACGAAAGCUAGGGGAACGAACUGGAUUAGGUACUCGAGUGGUC